This 350-nucleotide RNase P RNA is filed under the name Dryobates pubescens (Downy woodpecker). RNAcentral's name for it is "Picoides pubescens (downy woodpecker) Nuclear RNase P". It matches the Rfam family "Nuclear RNase P". From Rfam's summary of the family: Ribonuclease P (RNase P) is a ubiquitous endoribonuclease, found in archaea, bacteria and eukarya as well as chloroplasts and mitochondria. Its best characterised activity is the generation of mature 5'-ends of tRNAs by cleaving the 5'-leader elements of precursor-tRNAs. Cellular RNase Ps are ribonucleoproteins. Lineage: Eukaryota; Metazoa; Chordata; Aves; Piciformes; Picidae. The record is from Rfam by way of RNAcentral.
UCCGGGGGAAGCUCACUGCCGAGGCCAUCCGCUGGGUGCGUUCGUCACCCCUUAACCCCGCCUCGGGGAAGGUCUGAGGGAAGGGCCGCCCGCAGCUCUAGCAGAGCUCCGCCCGCGAUGGGGCGGGUGAGCCACCAGCAAGGGGGGGCGCCGCGAAUUGGGGCCGGUCCUGGGCAGGAGAAGCCGCGCUGGUUGCGUAGGGGGUUCGGGUAACUCCUCCCCCUCGAAACCCCGGUGGAUGCUCGUAGCCCCGCGGUGCUUUGAGACAGACUCACGGCCGGCGAUCGCUGAGUCCAAUGGGUGAGGUGGGGCAUUGCUCUACAACCCAAUUCAGACUACUCUCCCCCGGA